GCGAACGCUGGCGGCAGGCCUAACACAUGCAAGUCGAACGGAUCCUUCGGGAUUAGUGGCGGACGGGUGAGUCACACGUGGGAACGUGCCCUUUGGUUCGGAACAACUCAGGGAAACUUGAGCUAAUACCGGAUGUGCCCUUCGGGGGAAAGAUUUAUCGCCAUUGGAGCGGCCCGCGUCUGAUUAGCUAGUUGGUGAGGUAACGGCCCACCAAGGCGACGAUCAGUAGCUGGUCUGAGAGGAUGAUCAGCCACACUGGGACUGAGACACGGCCCAGACUCCUACGGGAGGCAGCAGUGGGGAAUCUUGCGCAAUGGGCGAAAGCCUGACGCAGCCAUGCCGCGUGAAUGAUGAAGGUCUUAGGAUUGUAAAAUUCUUUCAGCGGGGACGAUAAUGACGGUACCCGCAGAAGAAGCGCCGGCUAACUUCGUG
This 432-nucleotide ribosomal RNA is filed under the name uncultured bacterium. Its description in RNAcentral is "partial 16S ribosomal RNA". It matches the Rfam family "Bacterial small subunit ribosomal RNA", at positions 29 to 507 of the family's 1533-position model. The record is from RNAcentral.